Molecule: ribosomal RNA, 433 nt
Filed under: uncultured bacterium
Lineage: Bacteria
Description: partial 16S ribosomal RNA
Rfam family: Bacterial small subunit ribosomal RNA
Source: RNAcentral
AACGAACGCUAGCGGCAUGCCUAACACAUGCAAGUCGAACGAGACCUUCGGGUCUAGUGGCGCACGGGUGCGUAACGCGUGGGAAUCUGCCCUUGGGUUCGGAAUAACAGUGAGAAAUUACUGCUAAUACCGGAUGAUGUCUUCGGACCAAAGAUUUAUCGCCCAGGGAUGAGCCCGCGUAGGAUUAGCUAGUUGGUGGGGUAAUGGCCUACCAAGGCGACGAUCCUUAGCUGGUCUGAGAGGAUGAUCAGCCACACUGGGACUGAGACACGGCCCAGACUCCUACGGGAGGCAGCAGUGGGGAAUAUUGGACAAUGGGCGCAAGCCUGAUCCAGCAAUGCCGCGUGAGUGAUGAAGGCCUUAGGGUUGUAAAGCUCUUUUACCCGGGAUGAUAAUGACAGUACCGGGAGAAUAAGCUCCGGCUAACUCCGUG